AAAGGAAUAGACGGGGACCCGCACAAGCGGUGGAGCAUGUGGUUUAAUUCGACGCAACGCGAAGAACCUUACCAGGGCUUGACAUCCCUCGCAAUUCAUGGAAACAUGGAGUUCUAAUUUUCGGAUUAGACGAGGAGACAGGUGGUGCAUGGUUGUCGUCAGCUCGUGUCGUGAGAUGUUGGGUUAAGUCCCGCAACGAGCGCAACCCCUACGUUUAGUUGCCAUCAUUAAGUUGGGCACUCUAAAAGAACUGCCGGUGACAAACCGGAGGAAGGUGGGGAUGACGUCAAAUCAUCAUGCCCUUUAUGUUCUGGGCUACACACGUGCUACAAUGGCCGGUACAGAGGGUAGCGAAGGAGUGAUCCGGAGCCAAUCUCAAAAAGCCGGUCUCAGUUCGGAUUGCAGGCUGCAACUCGUCUGCAUGAAGUCGGAAUCGCUAGUAAUCGCAAGUCAGCAUAUUGCGGUGAAUACGUUCCCGGGUCUUGUACACACCGCCCGU
Molecule: ribosomal RNA, 499 nt
Filed under: uncultured bacterium
Lineage: Bacteria
Description: bacterial SSU rRNA
Rfam family: Bacterial small subunit ribosomal RNA
Source: RNAcentral